This 263-nucleotide ribosomal RNA is filed under the name uncultured bacterium. RNAcentral's name for it is "partial 16S ribosomal RNA". It matches the Rfam family "Bacterial small subunit ribosomal RNA", at positions 92 to 354 of the family's 1533-position model. The record is from RNAcentral.
UUAGUGGCGGACGGGUGAGUAACGCGUGGAUAACCUGCCGUACACAGGGGGAUAACACCUGGAAACAGGUGCUAAUACCGCAUAAGCGCACAGGGCCGCAUGGCCCGGUGUGAAAAACGUCCGGUGGUGUAAGAUGGACCCGCGUCUGAUUAGCUUGUUGGCAGGGUAGGGGCCCACCAAGGCGACGAUCAGUAGCCGGCCUGAGAGGGUGGACGGCCACAUUGGGACUGAGACACGGCCCAAACUCCUACGGAAGGCAGCAG